Molecule: non-coding RNA, 75 nt
Organism: Myotis lucifugus (little brown bat)
Lineage: Eukaryota; Metazoa; Chordata; Mammalia; Chiroptera; Vespertilionidae
Source: Rfam
GUCAGGUCUCAGGUGACGCACCCUGGAAUCAGGCUCUCUCCUCUCUGGUUCUGGGUGUGUCAUGUUAGAACUGCA